Molecule: ribosomal RNA, 796 nt
Filed under: uncultured bacterium
Lineage: Bacteria
Description: bacterial SSU rRNA
Rfam family: Bacterial small subunit ribosomal RNA
Source: RNAcentral
AGAGUUUGAUCAUGGCUCAGGAUGAACGCUAGCGGGAGGCCUAAUACAUGCAAGUCGAGGGGCAGCAGUACAGUACCUAGUAUUGUAGCUGGCGACCGGCGCACGGGUGAGUAACGCGUACGCAACUUACCUCCAAGAGGGGAAUAGCCCUGGGAAACUGGGAUUAAUGCCCCAUGGUUUAAUGACACUGCCUGGUGUUAUUAAUAAAGCUGAGGCGCUUGGAGAUAGGCGUGCGUCCUAUUAGCUAGUUGGUGAGGUAACGGCUCACCAAGGCGAUGAUAGGUAGGGGGCGUGAGAGCGUGACCCCCCACACGGGUACUGAGACACGGACCCGACUCCUACGGGAGGCAGCAGUAAGGAAUAUUGGACAAUGGAGGCAACUCUGAUCCAGCCAUCCCGCGUGCAGGAUGAAUGCCCUUUGGGUUGUAAACUGCUUUUACUAGGGAAGAAAGGUAGUCAUUUAUGAUUAUUUGACGGUACCUAAAGAAUAAGCACCGGCUAACUCCGUGCCAGCAGCCGCGGUAAUACGGAGGGUGCAAGCGUUAUCCGGAUUUACUGGGUUUAAAGGGUGCGUAGGCGGCUUAUUAAGUCAUAGGUGAAAGGCAUCGGCUUAACCGAUGGAUUGCCUGUGAUACUGGUGAGCUUGAAUUGGGUUGAGGUUGGCGGAAUGACAUGUAGCGGUGAAAUGCAUAGAUAUGUCAUAGAACAUCGAUUGCGAAGGCAGCUGACUGGACCUUGAUUGACGCUGAGGCACGAAAGCGUGGGUAGCGAACAGGAUUAGAUACCCUAGUAGUCC